GGGGCUGAUUCUGGAUUCGACGGGAUUUGCGAAACCCAAGGUGCAUGCCGAGGGGCGGUUGGCCUCGUAAAAAGCCGCAAAAAAUAGUCGCAAACGACGAAAACUACGCUUUAGCAGCUUAAUAACCUGCUUAGAGCCCUCUCUCCCUAGCCUCCGCUCUUAGGACGGGGAACAAGAGAGGUCAAACCCAAAAGAGAUCGCGUGGAAGCCCUGCCUGGGGUUGAAGCGUUAAAACUUAAUCAGGCUAGUUUGUUAGUGGCGUGUCCGUCCGCAGCUGGCAAGCGAAUGUAAAGACUGACUAAGCAUGUAGUACCGAGGAUGUAGGAAUUUCGGACGCGGGUUCAACUCCCGCCAGCUCCACCA
Molecule: transfer-messenger RNA, 363 nt
Filed under: Escherichia coli
Lineage: Bacteria; Pseudomonadati; Pseudomonadota; Gammaproteobacteria; Enterobacterales; Enterobacteriaceae
Rfam family: transfer-messenger RNA
About the family: Bacterial tmRNA, also known as 10Sa RNA or SsrA, is named for its dual tRNA and mRNA-like properties. Its role is to liberate the mRNA from a stalled ribosome.
Source: RNAcentral